UCCGGUUUGGCACCGGCAGUCUCCAAUGAGUCCCCGGCAUUACCCGCUGGCAACAUUGGACAGGGGUUGCGCUCGCUGCGCCACUUAAGGCAACACCUCACGACACGAGCUGACGACAGCCAUGCACCACCUGUGCUGGACCCCGAAGGACACCGUAUCUCUACGGCUUUUCCCAGCAUGUCAAGCCCAGGUAAGGUUCUUCGCGUCGCCUCGAAUUAAGCAACAUGCUCCGCCGCUUGUGCGGGCCCCCGUCAAUUCCUUUGAGUUUUAAUCUUGCGACCGUACUCCCCAGGCGGGGCACUUAAUGCGUUAGCUGCGGCACCCAGGGGGUCAAUACCCCGGACACCUAGUGCCCAUCGUUUACAGCGUGGACUAC
RNAcentral lists this unclassified non-coding RNA (376 nucleotides) under uncultured bacterium. Its description in RNAcentral is "contains 16S-23S intergenic spacer region". The record is from RNAcentral.